GGAGAGAUGGCCGAGUGGUUUAAGGCGCACGCCUGGAAAGCGUGUUGGGGCGGAAGCCCCUCAGGGGUUCGAAUCCCCUUCUCUCCGCCA
This 90-nucleotide transfer RNA is filed under the name Hwanghaeella grinnelliae. Its description in RNAcentral is "tRNA-Ser". It matches the Rfam family "tRNA". From Rfam's summary of the family: Transfer RNA (tRNA) molecules are approximately 80 nucleotides in length. Their secondary structure includes four short double-helical elements and three loops (D, anti-codon, and T loops). The record is from RNAcentral. Lineage: Bacteria; Pseudomonadati; Pseudomonadota; Alphaproteobacteria; Rhodospirillales; Aestuariispiraceae.